RNAcentral lists this ribosomal RNA (229 nucleotides) under uncultured bacterium. RNAcentral describes it as "partial 16S ribosomal RNA". It matches the Rfam family "Bacterial small subunit ribosomal RNA", at positions 1274 to 1500 of the family's 1533-position model. The record is from RNAcentral.
CCCAAACGACAGUCUUAGUUCGGAGUUGUAGGCUGCAACUCGCCUACAUGAAGUCGGAAUUGCUAGUAAUCGCGGAUCAGCAUGCCGCGGUGAAUACGUUCCCGGGCCUUGUACACACCGCCCGUCACACCAUGGGAGUCGGUAACACCCGAAGCCUGUAGUCUAACCGCAAGGAGGACGCAGUCGAAGGUGGGAUUGAUGACUGGGGGUGAAGUCGUAACAAGGUAUC